Molecule: transfer RNA, 75 nt
Filed under: Salmo salar (Atlantic salmon)
Lineage: Eukaryota; Metazoa; Chordata; Actinopteri; Salmoniformes; Salmonidae
Rfam family: tRNA
About the family: Transfer RNA (tRNA) molecules are approximately 80 nucleotides in length.
Source: Rfam by way of RNAcentral
AGCUGUGUUGCUCAGUCAGUAGAGCAUGGUACUUACAACACCCAAGGGUUGUGGGUUCAAUUCCCACCGGGGCCA